UACAGAGGAUGCAAGCGUUAUCCGAAAUGAUUGGGCGUAAAGCGUCCGCAGGUGGCAGUUCAAGUCUGCUGUCAAAGACCGGGGCUUAACUUCGGAAAGGCAGUGGAAACUGAACAGCUAGAGUAUGGUAGGGGCAGAGGGAAUUCCUGGUGUAGCGGUGAAAUGCGUAGAGAUCAGGAAGAACAUCGGUGGCGAAGGCGCUCUGCUGGACCAUAACUGACACUCAGGGACGAAAGCUAGGGGAGCGAAUGGG
This 253-nucleotide ribosomal RNA is filed under the name uncultured bacterium. RNAcentral describes it as "partial 16S ribosomal RNA". It matches the Rfam family "Bacterial small subunit ribosomal RNA", at positions 524 to 776 of the family's 1533-position model. The record is from RNAcentral.